Molecule: ribosomal RNA, 470 nt
Filed under: uncultured Pelotomaculum sp.
Lineage: Bacteria; Bacillati; Bacillota; Clostridia; Eubacteriales; Desulfotomaculaceae
Description: bacterial SSU rRNA
Rfam family: Bacterial small subunit ribosomal RNA
Source: RNAcentral
GACGGGACCCGCACAAGCGGUGGAUCAUGUUGUUAAUUCGACGCAACGCGAAGAACCUUACCAGGGCUUGACAUCCCCUGACCGCGUAUGAAAGUACGUUUUCACCCUCGGGUGACAGGGAGACAGGUGGUGCAUGGUUGUCGUCAGCUCGUGUCGUGAGAUGUUGGGUUAAGUCCCGCAACGAGCGCAACCCCUACGUUUAGUUGCUAACGCGUGAAGGCGAGCACUCUAGACGAACUGCCGUUGACAAAACGGAGGAAGGUGGGAUGACGUCAAAUCAUCAUGCCCCUUAUGUUCUGGGCUACACACGUGCUACAAUGGCCGGUACAGACGGACGCAAAGCCGCGAGGUGGAGCAAAUCCUAAAAAGCCGGUCUCAGUUCGGAUUGCAGGCUGCAAUUCGCCUGCAUGAAGUCGGAAUCGCUAGUAAUCGCAGGUCAGCAUACUGCGGUGAAUACGUUCCCGGGCCUU